GCAAAGUGGAUGAAUACGUCCCUCUGCCCAAGAGAGAGCUGGAGAAACCCUUCCUGCUGCUAUCGAGGGAGUCUACUCGAUCCCAGGCAGGGGUACGGUGGUGACUGGCACUUUGGAGAGGGGUGUCAUUAAGAAGGGCGACGACUGUGAGUUUGUGGGGCACAACCGUGCCUUCAAGUCUGUGGUCACUGGCAUUGAGAUGUUCCACCAGUCUCUGGACAGAGCGGAGGCAGGAGACAACCUGGGGGCUCUGGUCCGAGGGCUGAAGAGGGAGGACAUUAGGAGAGGGAUGGUGAUGAGCAAACCAGGCUCCAUCCAGCCCCACCAGAAAGUCCAGGCCCAGGUCUGUAUCAUAUAAUAAAAUAAAGUCCA
This is an RNA transcript of Salvelinus sp. IW2-2015, 372 nucleotides long. RefSeq lists it as uncharacterized. The record is from RefSeq and is a predicted model, not a curated record. NCBI's taxonomy places the organism in Eukaryota, Metazoa, Chordata, Actinopteri, Salmoniformes, Salmonidae.